Small nuclear RNA from Dermacentor silvarum, 184 nucleotides. RefSeq annotates it as U2 spliceosomal RNA. The transcript has a single exon. NCBI's taxonomy places the organism in Eukaryota, Metazoa, Arthropoda, Arachnida, Ixodida, Ixodidae. The record is from RefSeq and is a predicted model, not a curated record.
AUGGUCGACGCGGGUCAAUGUGCAGUAUCUAUUCAUAUCAGCUUAACAUGUGAUGGGGGUUGUAUUUGGACCCAAGAUAUUAAACUUAUUUUUUCCAAGUUGACGGAGUGCUUGAAGCCUGCUUCAUCUCCACCGCGGGUUGGGCCGGUAUUGCACAAUCUUCGGUAUUUUCAGUCUACGGACU